Molecule: ribosomal RNA, 305 nt
Filed under: uncultured bacterium
Lineage: Bacteria
Description: bacterial SSU rRNA
Rfam family: Bacterial small subunit ribosomal RNA
Source: RNAcentral
UUUGCCUACGGGACGCAGCAGUGGGGAAUAUUGCACAAUGGGGGAAACCCUGAUGCAGCGACGCCGCGUGAGUGAAGAAGUAUUUCGGUAUGUAAAGCUCUAUCAGCAGGAACGAGACAAGACGGUACCUGACUAAGAAGCCCCGGCUAACUACGUGCCAGCAGCCGCGGUAAUACGUAGGGGGCAAGCGUUAUCCGGAAUCACUGGGUGUAAAGGGAGCGUAGACGGCUGAGCAAGCCUGAAGUGAAAGGCGGGGGCCCAACCCCCGGACUGCUCUGGAAACUGUGUAACUGGAGUGCAGGAGG